Molecule: long non-coding RNA, 985 nt
Filed under: Zea mays
Lineage: Eukaryota; Viridiplantae; Streptophyta; Magnoliopsida; Poales; Poaceae
Description: long non-coding RNA (ZMAY_LNC004370)
Source: RNAcentral
AAAUUCUAAAAGGCUUGGUUUAAGCACCUUUAAAUGCUACAUAAUUCUAGGGUUGGGAAAAAAUCUGGAAAUUAUUUUUAUUAAAAACUAUGUGAUUUUAGGAAUCUAAAAAAUUGGUCUCAUGAUUUUACCAUUUUCUACUAUUUUCUACAGAUUUCCCGAGUUGGCAGUAAAAAGAAAAAGAUAAACCAUGAAUAGUGACAAGCCGGAUCUGGCCCAAGUCGGCCCACGAAUAGGGGAAAAGGCGCGCGCCUGCGCCUUGGUUUGCGUCGGGGCUCCAAGGGUUUCAAACAAUCAUGAAACGCCCGCUGGUACUGUUCUAAUGUGUCACUGACAUUUUCACUUAAACUCUUCCCUUCUUCCUUCACACGACCAGGCCUCCGACCACGGACGGCGGCGUGAUUACUCCGGCGAACCUACAUAGGCCGCCAUACUUCAUAAUACAUGCUCAAAUUUGCUCUUACCCCUAAUUCCACUCUUGGCGCCACACCAGGGAUCGAAAAUCAGGCAUGAACUGAAUCCAAGAGCUCAGUCUAUGAGCACCUGCGGACCAGAAAUCUUCACGGACUCGUUCGCAGUGAUACAACGUGGUAUCAUUCGAAGUGAGAGUACGAUAAGCUUUGGUAACUCACCUGGACUCAAGGACGAUGGUCAGGAAGACGAGUGAAAGGAUAGAGCGGUGAGUCAACGGAGGGAGUGUCCACGGCGGCGUUCCAUGGUGGCGACACAGUGUUCCGGGGUUCCGGCUGUGGUAGAGUUCAAUUGGGCGUGUCGAUGAGCAUCACGAUAUGUAAGAGAACUCAAAACACUCACAAGCCCAACCCAAGUUACCUCAGAGAGCUUUAUCCACGGCGAGACGUCUCGCAACGGCGCGGAUGACCGAUUUGGGGGGAUUUUCGAAUUCCCGGGGUAUGGUGGAUGGCAGGAUAUGUUUGGGGUUGUGUUUGGUUUGUGACAAGGGGGCGGAGCAAGGGAAUUCUCAAUU